Molecule: ribosomal RNA, 564 nt
Filed under: uncultured bacterium
Lineage: Bacteria
Description: bacterial SSU rRNA
Rfam family: Bacterial small subunit ribosomal RNA
Source: RNAcentral
CCUACGGGAGGCAGCAGUGGGGAAUCUUGCGCAAUGGGCGAAAGCCUGACGCAGCAACGCCGCGUGCGGGAUGAAGGCCUUCGGGCUGUAAACCGCUUUCAGCAGGAACGAAAAUGACGGUACCUGCAGAAGAAGGAGCGGCCAACUACGUGCCAGCAGCCGCGGUGACACGUAGGCUCCAAGCGUUGUCCGGAUUUAUUGGGCGUAAAGAGCUCGUAGGCGGCCUAAUAAGUCGGGUGUGAAAACUCUGGGCUCAACCCGGAGACGCCAUCCGAUACUGUUAUGACUUGAGUUCAGGAGGGGAGCGGGGAAUUCCUAGUGUAGCGGUGAAAUGCGCAGAUAUUAGGAGGAACACCGGUGGCGAAGGCGCCGCUCUGGACUGAAACUGACGCUGAGGAGCGAAAGCAUGGGUAGCAAACAGGAUUAGAUACCCUGGUAGUCCAUGCCGUAAACGGUGGGCACUAGGUGUGGGUUUCAACUAACGAAAUCCGCGCCGUCGCUAACGCAUUAAGUGCCCCGCCUGGGGAGUACGGUCGCAAGACUAAAACUCAAAUGAAUUGACGG